UUGGAGGGCAAGUCUGGUGCCAGCAGCCGCGGUAAUUCCAGCUCCAAUAGCGUAUAUUAAAGUUGUUGCAGUUAAAAAGCUCGUAGUUGAAUUUCGGGAUCAAUGUUUCGGUCAUGCCGUUGGUAUGUACUGAUAUUAUUGAUUUCUCACCUUCUAAAGAACCGUAAUGCCAUUAAUUUGGUGUCACGGGGAAUUAGGACUGUUACCUUGAAAAAAUUAGAGUGUUUAAAGCAGGCUCACGCUUGAAUACAUUAGCAUGGAAUAAUGAAAUAGGACAUCCGAUUCUAUUUUGUUGGUUUCUAGGAUCGAUGUAAUGAUUAAUAGGGAUAGUUGGGGGCAUUAGUAUUCAAUUGUCAGAGGUGAAAUUCUUGGAUUUAUUGAAGACUAACUACUGCGAAAGCAUUUGCCGAGGAUGUUUUCAUUAAUCAAGAACGAAAGUUAGGGGAUCGAAGACGAUCAGAUACCGUCGUAGUCUUAACCAUAAACUAUGCCGACUAGGGAUCGGAUGAUGUUAAUUUUUUAAUGACUCAUUCGGCGCCUUACGGGAAAC
This 550-nucleotide ribosomal RNA is filed under the name uncultured Funneliformis. Its description in RNAcentral is "SSU rRNA". It matches the Rfam family "Eukaryotic small subunit ribosomal RNA", at positions 548 to 1098 of the family's 1831-position model. Lineage: Eukaryota; Fungi; Glomeromycota; Glomeromycetes; Glomerales; Glomeraceae. The record is from RNAcentral.